Long non-coding RNA from Papilio polytes (common Mormon), 427 nucleotides. RefSeq lists it as uncharacterized. The transcript has 3 exons. The record is from RefSeq and is a predicted model, not a curated record. NCBI's taxonomy places the organism in Eukaryota, Metazoa, Arthropoda, Insecta, Lepidoptera, Papilionidae.
AUUGGUAGUAAAUAGUACAUUUCUUAUAGUUACCCGAUGGCAGAGUGAUCAAGGUUGGUGGUGAGAGGUUCGAGGCUCCGGAAGCGCUGUUCCAACCUCAUCUCAUCAAUGUCGAGGGUCAAGGGAUCGCUGAGCUGGUGUUUAACACCAUACAGGCUGCAGAUAUAGACAUGCGCAACGAACUAUACAAGCAUAUAGUACUGUCGGGAGGUUCCACUAUGUACCCCGGACUACCCUCUCGCUUAGAGAGAGAGAUCAAACAACUAUACUUGGAGAGAGUACUGAGGAAUGACUGCGAUAAGCUUGCCAAAUUCAAGAUUCGAAUCGAAGACCCGCCGCGGCGCAAGGACAUGGUGUUCAUAGGGGGCGCUGUGCUCGCUGAGGUCUGCAAGAAUAGAGAUAAUUUCUGGCUUUCUAGAGCUGAAUA